This is a non-coding RNA of Prunus avium (sweet cherry), 1375 nucleotides long. NCBI's taxonomy places the organism in Eukaryota, Viridiplantae, Streptophyta, Magnoliopsida, Rosales, Rosaceae. The record is from RefSeq and is a predicted model, not a curated record.
AUUUGUUAGAUUAUUCUUGCAUGUCGUGUUGUUUCUCAAAUCAGGGUUCUUCAUCUGCUAUCAUGCUUGGGAUUUUUUCUUAUCAUCUUUUCAUCCGUGAAUACAUGACAGAAAUGAGAUUUAGAUUUUGUAAGGAUCAGAGAAUUGUGCAGCAGAGUUUUGGUCAUUCAUUUCUUUUUGAAUUUGCAAUAGUCAUGUUAAUUGUAUCAUGGUUUCUUCUUUCUGUUGUUUAUUGUGUGCUAUUCAUAGUUUUAUAUCAAUUAUCGCACAUCAAUGGUCAGGAAUCUUUGCAACCUUUGAGUUGGAUUUCUCUGAUUACAUCAAGUGCUUAUUCAGAAAAUGGCAAUUGUCCUUUACACAAAGAAUCUGACUGGAAAGAAGCUGGAUAUCAUGACCACAGAGUGAGACUCCAUUUUCAGGCCACUUUUUUGGUGUUACACUCCAAAUAACAUGGUGCUUCCAGUUUUAGGGUGUUUAUUAUGUGCCAUUCAUAGAAGACAUUUGGAAUGUCGAGUGGUAUUUUUGCUUUUCGAGUGUUGUAUUAUUUUGUUUGAGUUUUAGAAAACAUGUUAUUUGUGUUAGAUUUAAUGUGUCAAUUUCUGUUACAGAAUUCUGAAUUGUGCAUUUUUUUUUCCAUGUAAGAGUACUGGGAUGGAUGCUUGGGCGUUCUUCUCAUUCUCUUUUCCACUGCAGAUUAUAAGCUUAGAUGGGUCUGCUUCAAGAAGCUUUGUUAUAUUCAUAAUCAGCAGUUCGUUUUAGUUGCUUGCAGUUUUUCGGUGCUCUCCUCUUCAUCUCUGCUUUUCUCAGUAAUUCAUUUAUUUAGAGUUGUGUAUAGCUUUGAUUUUUGUUCUUCUUUUUUUGUUUUCUGAGGGGAUUCUUUUGGCAGAGGAGUUGAAGGGUUAGAAGCAGUUAGAUCAAUAGCUUCAAUUUUGGUUUAUUAACAAGCAUCCAUUUGGAAAUUUGGUGAAGUUGAUAUGAGGAAGUUCAUAUUACUAGCAAAGGGUAGCUACGUCCUCAUCAUCACCAUCUCCUCAACACCCAUCUUAGACUCUCCUCAUGUUUUGCUCAGUGAUGCAAGGAGUUCAAUACAUAUCAAGGAGUUUUGUAAUUGUGAACUUUUGUUCUUUAUACUAUCCAUUCUAUUUUAUUGUGCAUAAUGGAUGAACUCAAAAUUUUUCAGAGAGGAACAAUUAAGAGAUAAAGCUGUGAAGCAUUUAAGGCGCAUAAAUGGCAAGGCCUUCACAUCACUGCAUUGGUUACUGAAAAGGAGAAUGGAUACAUGUAAAAAAACAAAUAAAGGAAAUUUGUACUGGAUAAUUUGUCUUUGUGCCAAAAUCAUGAGUUGCUUAGGUGAAAUACAAAUAUGUUUUUAUUA